UAACUUUAAUAAAUCAUUUAUAAUGGCAUUGUUGUAAUAUUUAUAAAGUAUUUGGGUACUUACCUCCCAGUGAUCAAGAGCCACGUCGACCACUUUUGCAUGGAUUGUAUGGGCGCGUCACUUUACUCUGAUCCUACCAAAUUCAAUCUUAAAAAAUUGAUAAUUUUGGUGUUUGGCCGACCCGCUGUAGUCCAAACUCCUCACUCGUUUUCUUCUGCAGUUUUCCAUCGACCUUUAUUUCAAGUUCUUCCACCGCCUUAUUUUUCAUCAUUUGUUUGUGCGGUCCGACCUCGUCUAUUUGCUGUUCAGAGCUGUCUAAUUUAUCCCACCUGCUUGAUUUUUCCUCGCGAAUCUCCUUUCUCUCUCUCUCUUUUUUUUUAUUUUUUUAUUUUUUUUUUAUUUUUUUAUUUUAAAUAUAUUCUCGUACUUCAAUGAAUAAAAUCAUGAAAAGACUACAGGUCUCAAAUUUCUCUAAGAAAAGACAUGAAAGGUCCACACAUUAAUUGAAAAUUGAAAUUUUACUUGAGAUUCCCUAUUUCCAAGCUCUGUGGCGGAGAAACUCACAGUGACAUAUUAAAGUCUUUCAAAUCACCGCUGGCAUCCAGGUCGUGCAACUAGAUUACGGAUUCGAGGUUGCUUCCGCAACACAUUGCUGGUUCUAGGAAGAAAGGUAACGUUUCAAACACGGAUCCGACCUCGAUCACAGAUCUAAGCUCGAGCACGGAUCCGACCUCAAGGAGUAAUCUAACGCUGUGGUCGUCAGAUUUGCCGAGUUCCUUUCUGUCUUGCUAUUCCGACCAACUCGAGAGGAGAUGGGUGGCUGCUCAGAGAGGAGAUGGGUGGUGAUGAGGGAGUAAUGCUCCAGACAUCGAAUUCAAAGGACC
This 884-nucleotide long non-coding RNA is filed under the name Manihot esculenta (cassava). RNAcentral's name for it is "long non-coding RNA (MESC_LNC004240)". The record is from RNAcentral. Lineage: Eukaryota; Viridiplantae; Streptophyta; Magnoliopsida; Malpighiales; Euphorbiaceae.